CCCUGAACUAUCUAUCUAUCUAUCUAUCUAUCUAUCUAUCUAUCUAUCUAUCUAUCUAUGUAUCUAUCUUCCAUCUAUCUACCCACCUACCCAAAACUCUUAAGUGGAAGGCAUGAAAGGAAGGAAAGAAGGCCGCCUUUGUUGUCAAAUCUGGAUGUCUUCAUUUGCCCCCUCCAUCUGCUCUCCACCUUUCUCUCCCCUGCCUUUGCAUCAACAGCCAUCCUUGCUCUCUGACUUGUCUGCUAAUCUGGGUAGUGGUAGGAAUGGAGGCAGGACACAAGAAGAUCAGGCCACACGAAGCUCUUUUUUUCCCCUGUGUUAUACACACUACAUAUGUGCACUUGAGGGACUUCCCUGUCAACUUUCUUAUGGAUAGCCUGUGAAAAUGAAGGCACAGAGAAGGCCAUUUCUCACCCACCACCGGUACCUAAUAGCAGUAAAGAAAAUAAAGCUCAAUUCUUGCAAAUGACAACCACAGAUAAUAGAUACUACCAAACCAGGAAUUUGAG
RNAcentral lists this long non-coding RNA (509 nucleotides) under Homo sapiens (human). RNAcentral describes it as "HSALNT0349290". The record is from RNAcentral. Lineage: Eukaryota; Metazoa; Chordata; Mammalia; Primates; Hominidae.